This 234-nucleotide ribosomal RNA is filed under the name uncultured bacterium. RNAcentral describes it as "partial 16S ribosomal RNA". It matches the Rfam family "Bacterial small subunit ribosomal RNA", at positions 15 to 240 of the family's 1533-position model. The record is from RNAcentral.
GAUCCUGGCUCAGGAUGAACGCUAGCUACAGGCUUAACACAUGCAAGUCGAGGGGCAGCAUGGUCUUAGCUUGCUAAGGCCGAUGGCGACCGGCGCACGGGUGAGUAACGCGUAUCCAACCUGCCUUACACUCUUGGACAGCCUUCUGAAAGGGAGAUUAAUACAAGAUGUUAUCAUGAGUAAGCAUUUUCACAUGAUUAAAGGUUUACCCGGUGUAAGAUGGGAUGCGUUCCA